GUGUCUUUAUUAAAUUCUAUUUGUUUUUCUAUCAAUAAUCUUAAGCUUAAGAUUGCCUCUCUAGUACCUUUGUUCCUUCUGAACCCGAAUUGGUCGUCGCUUAACUCUUUUUCUACUAUGCUCUCAAUUCGGGUGCAUAUUAUCUUUACUAGGAUUUUGGCUGCGUGUGCCAUUAACCUUAUUGUUCUAAAUUCAUUGCAUUUAUCUGCCGUUGCAUUUUUAGGUAUAGGUAUUAUAAUGCUUUCCUUGAAGUCUUUUGGGAUCUCUCCUGUAGUGUAUAUAUCAUUCACUAAUUUGAAUAGCUCGUCUUGUAAUUCUGUACUCGCAUUUUGAAUAAGUUCCAUUGCUAUGUCAUCUGUACCGGCUGCUUUACCUAUUUUCAUUAACUUUAAAGUUCUGCUGAACUCGCCUCUUAAGAUUUCUUCUCCUUGCAUAUCUGGGUUGUUAUUAUUAUUGAGAUUAGCGGCUUCUCCUUCCUGGUAUAGAGCUUCAAGAUAUUUUUUCCAUCUUGUUG
Molecule: non-coding RNA, 514 nt
Organism: Cinara cedri
Lineage: Eukaryota; Metazoa; Arthropoda; Insecta; Hemiptera; Aphididae
Source: the annotation of a GenBank genome assembly